GCGGAUAUGGUCAAAUGGUAAAAUUUCUCUU
RNAcentral lists this transfer RNA (31 nucleotides) under Spiranthes odorata. RNAcentral describes it as "partial tRNA-Gly". The record is from RNAcentral. Lineage: Eukaryota; Viridiplantae; Streptophyta; Magnoliopsida; Asparagales; Orchidaceae. RNAcentral also lists the same sequence under 26 other names.